This 301-nucleotide ribosomal RNA is filed under the name uncultured bacterium. Its description in RNAcentral is "partial 16S ribosomal RNA". It matches the Rfam family "Bacterial small subunit ribosomal RNA", at positions 509 to 807 of the family's 1533-position model. The record is from RNAcentral.
CAGUCGCCGCGGGAAUACAGAGGGUGCGAGCGUUAAUCGGAUUUACUGGGCGUAAAGCGUGCGUAGGCGGCUUUUUAAGUCGGAUGUGAAAUCCCUGAGCUUAACUUAGGAAUUGCAUUCGAUACUGGGAAGCUAGAGUAUGGGAGAGGAUGGUAGAAUUCCAGGUGUAGCGGUGAAAUGCGUAGAGAUCUGGAGGAAUACCGAUGGCGAAGGCAGCCAUCUGGCCUAAUACUGACGCUGAGGUACGAAAGCAUGGGGAGCAAACAGAAUUAGAUACCCCUGUAGUCCCUGUCUCUUAUAC